CUCACAAUGUCUCAGAAGAGGUAGAGAGAAUUCAGAGAAGUGACUUGUUCAAAGUCAUCUAGCUAGGGAGAAGCAGACUUAGGACUAGAACUUAUUUAUUGUUUCAUUCACUUAAAAACCAGGAAGUCCUGCUACAUGCCAGCCAGGUGAGGUACUAAGCAGCAAAAAUACAAACAUGGGUAAAUGUUGCUCCUUGGCUCUCAAGGGACUGUCAGGAUUGAAGUGUCCAGGCUGGGUAAGGAACAUCCAUAAACUUUACUAAAGCCAUUAGUAAGCAUCAGUAAAAGAAACCACGCUUUAAAAUCCAUAUUUUAUACUUCAAAACUCAGUUAAGCCUGGUGCCGUGGCUCAUGCCUGUAAUCCCAGCACUUUGGGAGGUCAAGGCGGGAAGAUCCCUUGAACCCAGGAAUUCCAGACCAGCCUGAGCAACAUGGCAAAACCCCUGUCUCUACAAACAAUACAAAAAUUAGCCAGGCAUGAUGGCAUGUGCCUGAGGUCCCAGCUACUCUGAAGGCUGAGGCAGAAGGAUCGCUGGAGCCCAGGAGGUUGAGGCUGCAGUGAGCUGUGAAACUGCCACUGCACUCCAGCCUGGGCAAUAGAGUGAGACCCUGUCUCCAGAAAAGCGAAACAAAACAAAACUCUCAGUUUACACUUCAUUCAAGAGUGUCAAGCCAGGGCGGUACAUAAAAUAACAAAGGAGAAUCCUUCACCAAAGGAGGAUAAACAGAUCCUGGUUGGUAUAUUUCCUAAUAGAACUUCCAUGUAAUGUGUGUCUUUCAGUACCGACAACAUUAACACUUCAUUAUCAUCUUUUUCU
RNAcentral lists this long non-coding RNA (817 nucleotides) under Homo sapiens (human). RNAcentral describes it as "non-protein coding lnc-PRRG4-1:1". Lineage: Eukaryota; Metazoa; Chordata; Mammalia; Primates; Hominidae. The record is from RNAcentral.